UAUGGAGUAUCCAUAGCUGAAUACAUAGGCUAUGUGAAGCGAACGCGGUGAACUGAAACAUCUAAGUAACCGCAGGAAAAGAAAUCAACCGAGAUUCCCAAAGUAGUGGCGAGCGAAAUGGGAUGAGCCUUGUACUCUUUAUUUGUAUUGUUAGCCGAACGCUCUGGAAAGUGCGGCCAUAGCAGGUGAUAGCCCUGUAGGCGAAAACAGUAUGAAAGAACUAGGUGUACGACAAGUAGGGCGGGACACGUGAAAUCCUGUCUGAAGAUGGGGGGACCAUCCUCCAAGGCUAAAUACUCGUGAUCGACCGAUAGUGAACCAGUACCGUGAGGGAAAGGCGAAAAGAACCCCGGGAGGGGAGUGAAAUAGAUCCUGAAACCGCAUGCAUACAAACAGUCGGAGCCUCUUUAUGGGGUGACGGCGUACCUUUUGUAUAAUGGGUCAGCGACUUACGUUCAGUAGCAAGCUUAACCGUAUAGGGCAGGCGUAGCGAAAGCGAGUCCGAAUAGGGCGUUCAGUUGCUGGGCGUAGACCCGAAACCAGGUGAUCUAUCCAUGGCCAGGAUGAAGGUGCGGUAACACGUACUGGAGGUCCGAACCCACUAACGUUGAAAAGUUAGGGGAUGAGCUGUGGAUAGGGGUGAAAGGCUAAACAAACCUGGAAAUAGCUGGUUCUCUCCGAAAACUAUUUAGGUAGUGCCUCGUGUCUCACCUUCGGGGGUAGAGCACUGUCAUGGUUGGGGGGUCUAUUGCAGAUUACCCCGCCAUAGCAAACUCCGAAUACCGAAGAGUGCAAUCACGGGAGACAGACAUCGGGUGCUAACGUCCGGUGUCAAGAGGGAAACAACCCAGACCGCCAGCUAAGGUCCCCAAAUAUGGCUAAGUGGGAAACGAAGUGGGAAGGCUAAAACAGUCAGGAGGUUGGCUUAGAAGCAGCCACCCUUUAAAGAAAGCGUAAUAGCUCACUGAUCGAGUCGUCCUGCGCGGAAGAUGUAACGGGGCUAAGCCAUAUACCGAAGCUGCGGAUGCGUGCUUGCACGCAUGGUAGGAGAGCGUUCCGUAAGCCUGCGAAGGUGCCUUGUAAAGGGUGCUGGAGGUAUCGGAAGUGCGAAUGCUGACAUGAGUAGCGAUAAAGGGGGUGAAAGGCCCCCUCGCCGUAAGCCCAAGGUUUCCUACGCAACGUUCAUCGGCGUAGGGUGAGUCGGCCCCUAAGGCGAGGCAGAAAUGCGUAGCUGAUGGGAAGCAGGUCAAUAUUCCUGCACCAUUGUUAGAUGCGAUGGGGGGACGGAUCGCGGAAGGUUGUCCGGGUGUUGGACGUCCCGGUCGCUGCAUUGGAGAAGGCGCUUAGGCAAAUCCGGGCGCAGGAUUCAAGGGUGUGGCGCGAGCGACUUCGGUCGCGAAGCAAUUGGAAGUGGUUCCAAGAAAAGCCUCUAAGCUUCAGUCUAACGAUGACCGUACCGCAAACCGACACAGGUGGGCGAGAUGAGUAUUCUAAGGCGCUUGAGAGAACUCGGGAGAAGGAACUCGGCAAAUUGGUACCGUAACUUCGGGAUAAGGUACGCCCUUGUAGCUUGACUGGCCUGCGCCAGGAGGGUGAAGGGGUUGCAAUAAACUGGUGGCUGCGACUGUUUAAUAAAAACACAGCACUCUGCAAACACGAAAGUGGACGUAUAGGGUGUGACGCCUGCCCGGUGCCGGAAGAUUAAAUGAUGGGGUGCAAGCUCUUGAUUGAAGUCCCGGUAAACGGCGGCCGUAACUAUAACGGUCCUAAGGUAGCGAAAUUCCUUGUCGGGUAAGUUCCGACCUGCACGAAUGGCGUAACGAUGGCCACACUGUCUCCUCCCGAGACUCAGCGAAGUUGAAGUGUUUGUGAUGAUGCAAUCUACCCGCGGCUAGACGGAAAGACCCCAUGAACCUUUACUGUAGCUUUGCAUUGGACUUUGAACCGAUCUGUGUAGGAUAGGUGGGAGGCUAUGAAACCGGAACGCUAGUUUCGGUGGAGCCGUCCUUGAAAUACCACCCUGGUUUGUUUGAGGUUCUAACCUUGGUCCGUGAUCCGGAUCGGGGACAGUGCAUGGUAGGCAGUUUGACUGGGGCGGUCUCCUCCCAAAGGGUAACGGAGGAGUACGAAGGUACGCUAGGUACGGUCGGAAAUCGUGCUGAUAGUGCAAUGGCAUAAGCGUGCUUAACUGCGAGACCGACAAGUCGAGCAGGUGCGAAAGCAGGUCAUAGUGAUCCGGUGGUUCUGUAUGGAAGGGCCAUCGCUCAACGGAUAAAAGGUACUCUGGGGAUAACAGGCUGAUACCGCCCAAGAGUUCAUAUCGACGGCGGUGUUUGGCACCUCGAUGUCGGCUCAUCUCAUCCUGGGGCUGUAGCCGGUCCCAAGGGUAUGGCUGUUCGCCAUUUAAAGAGGUACGUGAGCUGGGUUUAAAACGUCGUGAGACAGUUUGGUCCCUAUCUGCCGUGGGCGUUGGAUAUUUGAAGGGGGCUGCUCCUAGUACGAGAGGACCGGAGUGGACGAACCUCUGGUGUACCGGUUGUGACGCCAGUCGCAUCGCCGGGUAGCUAUGUUCGGAAGAGAUAACCGCUGAAAGCAUCUAAGCGGGAAACUCGCCUUAAGAUGAGAUAUCCCUGGAGGCUUGACCUCCUUGAAGGGUCGUUCGAGACCAGGACGUUGAUAGGUCGGGUGUGUAAGCGCAGUAAUGCGUUCAGCUAACCGAUACUAAUUGCCCGUAAGGCUUGAUCCUAUAACA
This 2752-nucleotide ribosomal RNA is filed under the name Burkholderia multivorans. RNAcentral's name for it is "bacterial LSU rRNA". It matches the Rfam family "Bacterial large subunit ribosomal RNA". The record is from RNAcentral. Lineage: Bacteria; Pseudomonadati; Pseudomonadota; Betaproteobacteria; Burkholderiales; Burkholderiaceae.